RNAcentral lists this ribosomal RNA (253 nucleotides) under uncultured bacterium. RNAcentral's name for it is "partial 16S ribosomal RNA". It matches the Rfam family "Bacterial small subunit ribosomal RNA", at positions 524 to 776 of the family's 1533-position model. The record is from RNAcentral.
UACGUAGGGUGCGAGCGUUAAUCGGAAUCAUUGGGCGUAAAGCGCACGUAGGCGGCCCGGUAAGUCCGCUCUGAAAGUCAGAGGCUCAACCUCUGGAGGCGAGUGGAUACUGCCGGGCUAGAGUCCGGAAGAGGCGAGUGGAAUUCCUGGUGUAGCGGUGGAAUGCGCAGAUAUCAGGAGGAACACCUAUGGCGAAGGCAGCUCGCUGGGACGGUACUGACGCUGAGGUGCGAAAGCGUGGGGAGCGAACAGG